This 780-nucleotide long non-coding RNA is filed under the name Mustela putorius furo (domestic ferret). Its description in RNAcentral is "lncRNA (ENSMPUG00000030581.1)". The record is from RNAcentral. Lineage: Eukaryota; Metazoa; Chordata; Mammalia; Carnivora; Mustelidae.
UUUUUUUGGUCCUGGUUUAGAGAAAAGAACUAUACUUGCUUGAAAUAUCCAAAUGCAUUGUUUAAACAAGGCUAGAUGCAGCUUAUAUAAGGUACUGUGGAUAAUGAAAUAAGAGCUUCUCCCCCACCCCAAUUACUUGAUUUGUGAUCACAUAAUGGUUGUCUUUCUUUUUAUUGGAGCUGUUUUGGAAAUUACCUUUCUAUCCAUGAUCUGUGUGUACCAGGUGGAAAGAUCUUCAAAAAUACAUAUAACCCGGAGCGAAGAAAACCUGAAAAUUUGCCCUAGGAUGAAUAGGGAAAUGGGAUGGAGUUGAACAUUCUCUGCCCACCUCUGCAGAGGGGAUUUGGUCUUUCCUCGAGUGGAUGACAGAUGAGGUUGGUAACCUGGAGGAACCUUAUCCUGGUUUCAUGUGGGAUUGUUCAAGCUAUAAUUAUUUGAAGGUUUCUGUGUGGCUGGAGGAUCCAAGUCAUUCUCACUCAGAUAUGGGGCAGUUGAUGCUGGAUGUUGGCUCAUUCUCUUCCGUUCUCCACCUGAUCACUCAUCCUCUGGUAAGUUGGACUGUGUUUCUUCAUAAUAUUGAGGUGGUAGGGUUACAAGAAGAUGAGAAUGGAAGCUGUAGGAAUAGGUUAUUUUGGGGGAGAGGUAAGAAGAGGCUAGGGCAAAGUGUCAGCUAAAAGGAAUUCUGAUCUUAUCUGAAAAGUUUCAGUACUUUAAUGUGCUGUCAUAAUUUACCUGUGUAAUUUAAAAAUAUAUAAAAUAUUGCUAGAGACUGAAUGUUUG